This 253-nucleotide ribosomal RNA is filed under the name uncultured bacterium. Its description in RNAcentral is "partial 16S ribosomal RNA". It matches the Rfam family "Bacterial small subunit ribosomal RNA", at positions 524 to 776 of the family's 1533-position model. The record is from RNAcentral.
UACGUAGGGUGCGAGCGUUGCCCGGAAUUAUUGGGCGUAAAGAGCUCGUAGGCGGUUUGUCGCGUCUGCUGUGAAAACUCGGGGCUUAACCCCGGGCCUGCAGUGGGUACGGGCAGACUAGAGUGCGGUAGGGGAGACUGGAAUUCCUGGUGUAGCGGUGAAAUGCGCAGAUAUCAGGAGGAACACCGGUGGCGAAGGCGGGUCUCUGGGCCGUAACUGACGCUGAGGAGCGAAAGCGUGGGGAGCGAACAGG